This 510-nucleotide unclassified non-coding RNA is filed under the name Hevea brasiliensis (rubber tree). The record is from RNAcentral. Lineage: Eukaryota; Viridiplantae; Streptophyta; Magnoliopsida; Malpighiales; Euphorbiaceae.
AAACAUUCCUGAAUUACAUUCAAAGAAAAGUAGGAAAUUCAUUAGUGAGAGACCUAGUUCAGAUGCAGUUGUUCACAUAAAUAUUCCACCAAGAAGUUAAAGAAUCCCUACACCAAGAAGAUUAGAGAUUUCAGGUUCUUAUCAUGGCCUAGAAAAUUAAUAUAUAUAAUUGUUUGCUUCAAGUCUUCUACAGUCCUACUUUGACAAUAAAAAACUGACUACAUUUUCCUUUAAAAUAGAAUAAAAAAGGGUGAACUAAAGCAUGAAGCAUCUGAGAAGGAUUGAAAUAGAAUACACAGCGCAAAAAUAUGUUGCUUUUUUCAUUUAAGUUUCCUCAUUGUCUUGGCAUAAACAACUGACUCCAGACACUCUUACCAUAAUUAUUAAAUUCCCAAUUUAGAAAAAGGGCCAAUGAUCAUCCAACAAUACAGGGUAACCCAGUCCAUAAAGCAUCCCACACUUGUGGGCUCAGGGGAGAGUUAAUGCACACAGCCUUACCCUUGCUUUGCA